CCGCUCCUGAAGAACAUGUAACAGUAGCUGAUGAUACAGUUGAUAUGCCACAAGCACAAGAGCCAGAAGUAGAAGAGAUGAAGAAUACUGAACCUGUUGAAGUGGAAGAAAACAUAUCAGCAAGUGACCUGCCAGCAGAAGAGGUGAAGAAGACUGAAGCGAUCAACGAGAGUGCUGAUGCAACCAUCAGCGAGCUCACAGAGGAGGUGAAAUGCAAUGUUGCUCUUGCAGACGAGGAACCUCAUGAAGAGCAUGUAACAGUAGCUGAGACAGCAGUUGAUGUACCACAAGCACAGGAGCUGGAACUAGAAGAGAUCAAGAAUACUGAACCUGUUGAGGUGGAAGAAAAGAUGUCAGCAAGUGACAUGCAGGCAGAAGAGGUGAAGGACACUGAAGCAAUCAACGAGAGCGCUGAUGCGAAAAUCAGUGAGCUCACUGAGGAUGUCAAACCUAAUGUUGCUCUUGCAGACGAGGCAGCUCCUGAAGAACAUGUAAUAGCAACUAAGGCAACAGUUGACAUACCACAAGCACAAGAUCCAGAACUAGAAGAAAUCAAGAAUACUGAACCUGUUGAAGUGGAAGAAAACAUAUCAGAGAGUGACCUGCGCGCAGAAGAGGUGAAGGACGCUGAAGCCAAAAAAACAGAAGCAAUCAAUGAGAGCACUGAUGCAAACAUCAGUGAGCUCACUGAGGAUGUGAAAAGUAAUGUUACUCGUGGAGAUGAGGCAGCUCCUGAAGAGCUUGUAACAGCAACCGAGGCAACAGUUGAUAUUCCACGAGCACAAGAGCCAGAACUAGAAGAGAUUGAGAAUGUUGAACCUGUUGAGGUGGAAGAAAACACAUCAGUGAGUGACAUGCCGGCAGAAGAGGUGAAGGACAUUGAAGCCAAGGAAACUGAUGCAAUCAAUGAGAGCAGUGAUGCAAACAUCAGUGAGCUUACUGAACAUAUGAAAAGCAACGUUGCUCUUAUAGAUGAGGCAGCUCAUGAAGAACAUGUAACAGUAGCCGAGACAACAGUCGAUCUACCACAAGCACAAGAGCCGGAGCUAGAAGAGAUCAAGAAUACUGAAGCAGGUGACCUGUCAGCAGAAGAGGUCCAGGAAAUUGAACCCAAGGAAACUGAAGCAAUCAGCGAAAUGACUGAUGCAAACAUCAGGGAGCUCAAUGAGGAUGUGAAAAGCAAUGUUGUUCUUGCAGACGAGGAACCUCAUGCAGAACAGGUAACAGUAGCUGAGAGAACAGUUGACAUACCACAAACACAGGAGCCAGAACUAGAAGAGAUCAAGAAUACUGAACCUGUUGAGGUGGAAGAAAAUAGAUCAGCACGUGACCUGCAAGCAGAAGAGGUGAGGGAAACUGAAGCAAUCAAUGAGAGCCCUGAUGCAAACAUUAGCGAGCUCACUGAGGAUGUGACAAGCAAUGUUGCUCCUGCGGACGAGGCAGCUGAGCAUGUAAUAGUAACUGAGGCAACAGUUGAUAUACCAGAAGCACAAGAGCCAAAACUAGAAGAGACCAAGAGUACUGAACCUGCUGAAGUAGAAGAAAACAUAUCAGCAAAUGAUCUGCCAGCAGAAGAGGUGAAGGAUACUGAAGCCGUGGAGACAGAAGCAAUCAACGAGAACACUGAUGCAAACACCAGUGAGCUCACUGAAGAUGUGAAGAACAAUGUUGCUCUUGCAGACGAGGCCGCUCCUGAAGAACAUGUAACAGUAGCUGAUGAUACAGUUGACAUGCCACAAGCACAAGAGCCAGAAGUAGAAGAGAUGAAGAAUACUGAACCUGUUGAAGUGGAAGAAAACAUAUCAGCAAGUGACCUGCCAGCAGAAGAGGUGAAGGACACUGAAGCAAUCAACGAGAGUGCUGACGCAAACAUCAGCGAGCUCACUGAGGAGGUGAAAUGCAAUGUUGCUC
This 1911-nucleotide long non-coding RNA is filed under the name Triticum aestivum (bread wheat). Its description in RNAcentral is "long non-coding RNA (TAES_LNC012993)". Lineage: Eukaryota; Viridiplantae; Streptophyta; Magnoliopsida; Poales; Poaceae. The record is from RNAcentral.